Molecule: ribosomal RNA, 492 nt
Filed under: uncultured bacterium
Lineage: Bacteria
Description: partial 16S ribosomal RNA
Rfam family: Bacterial small subunit ribosomal RNA
Source: RNAcentral
AUUGAACGCUGGCGGCAUGCUUUACACAUGCAAGUCGAACGGUAACAGGCCUUCGGGUGCUGACGAGUGGCGAACGGGUGAGUAAUGCAUCGGAACGUACCCAGAGGUGGGGGAUAACGCAGCGAAAGCUGUGCUAAUACCGCAUGUGAUCUGAGGAUGAAAGCGGGGGACCGAGCAGCAAUGUUUGGCCUCGCGCCUUUGGAGCGGCCGAUGUCGGAUUAGCUAGUUGGUGGGGUAAAGGCCUACCAAGGCGACCAUCCGUAGCUGGUCUGAGAGGACGAACAGCCACACUGGGACUGAGACACGGCCCAGACUCCUACGGGAGGCAGCAGUGGGGAAUUUUGGACAAUGGGCGCAAGCCUGAUCCAGCAAUGCCGCGUGCGGGAAGAAGGCCUUCGGGUUGUAAACCGCUUUUGGCAGGAACGAAACGGUGUCCGCUAAUACCGGGCGCUAAUGACGGUACCUGCAGAAUAAGCACCGGCUAACUACGUG